GGGGAAUAUUGCACAAUGGGCGAAAGCCUGAUGCAGCAACGCCGCGUGGGGGAUGACGGCCUUCGGGUUGUAAACCUCUUUUAGUAGGGAAGAAGGGCUUCGGCUUGACGGUACCUGCAGAAAAAGCACCGGCUAACUACGUGCCAGCAGCCGCGGUAAUACGUAGGGUGCAAGCGUUGUCCGGAAUUAUUGGGCGUAAAGAGCUCGUAGGCGGUUUGUCGCGUCUGCUGUGAAAACCCGAGGCUCAACCUCGGGCCUGCAGUGGGUACGGGCAGACUAGAGUGCGGUAGGGGAGAAUGGAAUUCCUGGUGUAGCGGUGGAAUGCGCAGAUAUCAGGAGGAACACCGAUGGCGAAGGCAGUUCUCUGGGCCGUUACUGACGCUGAGGAGCGAAAGCGUGGGGAGCGAAC
RNAcentral lists this ribosomal RNA (409 nucleotides) under uncultured bacterium. RNAcentral's name for it is "bacterial SSU rRNA". It matches the Rfam family "Bacterial small subunit ribosomal RNA", at positions 356 to 773 of the family's 1533-position model. The record is from RNAcentral.